Molecule: transfer RNA, 73 nt
Filed under: Bos taurus (domestic cattle)
Lineage: Eukaryota; Metazoa; Chordata; Mammalia; Artiodactyla; Bovidae
Also listed under: 4 other names
Rfam family: tRNA
About the family: Transfer RNA (tRNA) molecules are approximately 80 nucleotides in length. Their secondary structure includes four short double-helical elements and three loops (D, anti-codon, and T loops).
Source: Rfam by way of RNAcentral
AUAUCUGUGGCACAAUUGUAAGCACGUUUGGCUUUUAACCUAAAGGUUGGUGGUUCGAGCCCACCCAGGGACG